RNAcentral lists this long non-coding RNA (843 nucleotides) under Junco hyemalis (dark-eyed junco). Its description in RNAcentral is "lncRNA (ENSJHYG00000001181.1)". Lineage: Eukaryota; Metazoa; Chordata; Aves; Passeriformes; Passerellidae. The record is from RNAcentral.
GUGCUUUGCAGGGAUAUUUUCACUCUGGCUCUGGCAGGAGAGCUCUGACACAGCCCUGCUGUCGGCAGCGCUCGCUCAACGACGCCUCCUGAGAUCCCAAAACUCCAAAAAAAAAAGGGGGAAACGGCCAAUUUUCAUUUCCUCAGCACCAAGGUUCUGACUCUGCUCCUUGGGAACCUUCCUCAUCCAGAUCACAGGGAUUUCCAAAAUUGCAGCAUUCCCUCAAAGCUGAAAAUAAAUCUCCAGAAAUCUCUUGGAAAACUGAAGAUGAAUCUCCAAAAACCUCCUCCAAAGCUGAUGAUCACUACCAUUACUGAGCGGUGAGUGUUGGAAAUGCCUGGAAAAGCCAAGGUGAGCCCAAAAUCUGCUUUAAACCCCUGCCCCAAGCACUGACCCAGCCCAGCUCUGCUCCCCUCAGUCCCACCUCACCCUUUAAGCAGAGCUCAUCACCAAUAAUUAAUUAAUUAAACCAAAGCUCUUUCCCAGCCUUGUUCCCGUGCUGGCUGGGAGCAGAGCUGGCAGUGUGAAGUCAUUUUUGUGCCCUGUGUCAUCACGCUGAUGUCAGGGCUGCUGUCAGCACUGUCAGGGUGGUGUUUAUGAAGCUGGAGAUCGAUAUUAAAUAGUGGAUUUAGGAUCCAUUGGCACAGCUGCAGCUCGGGCUGCCUUUGACCUUCUUCGGCUGACAGGGAGCCAGAGGGGUUUUUCCAUGGCAUUAAGUUAAAGGAGUUUCCACUGCCCAGCUUUCUGCUCUGCCUUCACCAUAUCACUGUCCCAGCUCUUACUGGGAAUCAUAAAAAAAGAUUUCUCAGAGGAAAUAAUAAAAAUUGAUGGAAGAAAUCUCCA